GUCCGUUGAAUUCGGAGCAGAAGCCGAGUCGUUUUACCUGCUGCGGUCUCUCUUCUGCCAGUCUAUCACCAAAGCCUGCCGCAUUGAGUUAACAAGGCCAAGGACCGCUACACUGACAAAGCCUGCAAUCGAAACAAACUCGUCAGGAUGUUGGGUCUAUACUACGGACAGCGGGCCUGACGGAGCGCUCUGGGAUUUUUCGCAGCCGAAACUCGUGUUAUACUCUGUCUUAUCGCCUGGGCGCUCUCAUGACCAGCAGGAAAUCCUGUUAUAAAAGACUGACGUUAAGUGUGCCAAGAUGGAAAUUCCAGGAUGUGUCCAGCAUGUGGACAGCGCUAAUCACACGACGGAGUCCAGACUGAAGGAAGGAAUGAUUUGUGGAACAGUUCCUUCACAGAACGUCAGAUAACGUCUACAGAGCGAAAAAACGAUGAUAAAGGAAAAUAACUAUAGCCACGAACUGUAUUAGCCAUGUUAUGUUUGAGUUGGCUGUGUCUGAAAUGUAAUAUUGUAGUGUAGAUAUAUCAGAAACGCGUAGAGAGAAGAAUUUACCACACUUUAAUGUCUUAUGGGUUUCUCAGACGCCAGAGGGCGCUCCUUACCAAAAUGAAUGGAUUAAAUUGGAGCAUUUAAGCAAAA
This is a long non-coding RNA of Pygocentrus nattereri (red-bellied piranha), 639 nucleotides long. RefSeq lists it as uncharacterized. The record is from RefSeq and is a predicted model, not a curated record. NCBI's taxonomy places the organism in Eukaryota, Metazoa, Chordata, Actinopteri, Characiformes, Serrasalmidae. The transcript has 3 exons.